This is a long non-coding RNA of Balaenoptera acutorostrata (minke whale), 1187 nucleotides long. RefSeq lists it as uncharacterized. The transcript is spliced from 3 exons. Lineage: Eukaryota; Metazoa; Chordata; Mammalia; Artiodactyla; Balaenopteridae. The record is from RefSeq and is a predicted model, not a curated record.
GGCGCGCGGGUACCUCCUCGGGGGCGCGCGACCGGACUGUCGUCCUUCCCCCCGCAACUCCCUCACGCGUCCGCUCCGGAGCCUGGGGAGGGAGAGCGCAGGCGCGGGGAGCUGGAGCCGGGCGCCGCCGGCGCCGCCGCUGCCGCCGCCGCCGCCGAGGCUUAACGUCUCGCUCGCUCGCGCAGCGGCGGCAGCAGAGGUCGCGCACAGAUGCGGGUUAGACUGGCGGGGGGAGGAGGCGGAGGAGGGAAGGAAGCUGCAUGCAUGAGACCCACAGACUCUUGCAAGCCGGAUGCCCUCUGUGGAUGAAAGAUGUAUCAUGGAAUGAACCCGAGCCAUGGAGAUGGAUUUCUAGAGCAGCAGCAGCCUCAGUCCCCCCAGAGACUCUUUUGGCCGUGAUCCUGUGGUUUCAGCUGGCGCUGUGCUUCGGCCCUGCACAGCUCACGGGCGAGCCUGAGGGUCUUUCUGCCACCACUGCCCUUUGCUGUCCAUUCCAGACUUCCUGUGAGAGCUUGCUGAUGUGGGCAUAUUAAGAGGACAGAAUCAUGUUUCUGGAGCUGAAAAACUGUUAAUCUACAAAUAAAUUAUAAUUGGUGGAAAAGCAGGUAUUGAUUGAUACAAGUAAACCAUUUUAGUGUUUUAAAAUAUUGCCGUUUUAGAGAAUUCAAAGGUGAAGAUGGAAAUAAUGGGUGAAAAAUUAGUAGAGGUGGGGAGGGCACUACCAAGUUGGGCUUUAACACAGAGGAAUCAAUAACCCAGGUGUUGCACUUAGAGGUCUGAGAGAUGCCAGGAGUCUAAACGAGCUUCCUGUGAUGUGCAUAUUUAUCGGAAUUAGUGCGAAAACACUCACUUUGGGUGGGGGACCCGGUUUUGGUUUUUCAACAAGGGGUAACUUUUUUGGUGCUCCCUUUUUUUACAGAAAUGUCUCUGAGGCAGGUGUCCUCUUCAUCGAGGACAAGGUCAAGUGGGAUGCCAGGCCAGCACCUGUGUGGCCUGCCAGGGCUCUGGUCACAGCCUCUGUCCGCCCGUGAGCUUUAGCUCCACUUGGAGGGUGAGUGGGACCAGGUGGGCAGGACAGCCUCGAGCAGGGCCUGGUCAUCACCUCCCCUCUUCUCUUUUCUUGCCUCCAGCUCUAGCUGUCAUUUCCUUAAACCAGGUGCACGUGAUUCUCCAUCCUCUCUGUUCCU